GCCUUGGUGGUUCAAACGUUAAUGUGCUUGGCUGCUAACCAGAAGGUUGGAGGUUCAAGUCCAUCCAAAGGCG
This 73-nucleotide transfer RNA is filed under the name Loxodonta africana (African savanna elephant). It matches the Rfam family "tRNA". From Rfam's summary of the family: Transfer RNA (tRNA) molecules are approximately 80 nucleotides in length. Lineage: Eukaryota; Metazoa; Chordata; Mammalia; Proboscidea; Elephantidae. The record is from Rfam by way of RNAcentral.